RNAcentral lists this ribosomal RNA (393 nucleotides) under uncultured bacterium. RNAcentral describes it as "partial 16S ribosomal RNA". It matches the Rfam family "Bacterial small subunit ribosomal RNA", at positions 523 to 918 of the family's 1533-position model. The record is from RNAcentral.
AUACGGAGGAUGCAAGCGUUAUCCGGAUUUAUUGGGUUUAAAGGGUGCGUAGGCUGACGUGUAAGUCAGAGGUGAAAUCUCCGGGCUCAACCUGGGAACUGCCUUUGAUACUGCAUGUCUGGAGUUCGGAUGCCGUGGGAGGAAUGGGCAGUGUAGCGGUGAAAUGCAUAGAUAUUGCCCAGAACACCGAUUGCGAAGGCAUCUCACGAAUCCGACACUGACGCUGAGGCACGAAAGCGUGGGGAUCAAACAGGAUUAGAUACCCUGGUAGUCCACGCAGUAAACGAUGAUAACUAACCGUCGGCGAUAGACAGUCGGUGGCCAAGCGAAAGCGAUAAGUUAUCCACCUGGGGAGUACGUUCGCAAGAAUGAAACUCAAAUGAAUCGACGGGG